This 77-nucleotide transfer RNA is filed under the name Desulfotalea sp. Its description in RNAcentral is "tRNA-Arg". It matches the Rfam family "tRNA". From Rfam's summary of the family: Transfer RNA (tRNA) molecules are approximately 80 nucleotides in length. Their secondary structure includes four short double-helical elements and three loops (D, anti-codon, and T loops). The record is from RNAcentral. Lineage: Bacteria; Pseudomonadati; Thermodesulfobacteriota; Desulfobulbia; Desulfobulbales; Desulfocapsaceae.
GCGCCCGUAGCUCAGCUGGAUAGAGCAACGGACUUCUAAUCCGUAGGUCGCUGGUUCGAAUCCAGCCGGGCGCACCA